RNAcentral lists this ribosomal RNA (254 nucleotides) under uncultured bacterium. RNAcentral describes it as "partial 16S ribosomal RNA". It matches the Rfam family "Bacterial small subunit ribosomal RNA", at positions 524 to 776 of the family's 1533-position model. The record is from RNAcentral.
UACAGAGGGUGCGAGCGUUAAUCGGAAUUACUGGGCGUAAAGCGCGCGUAGGCGGCUUUGCAAGUCGGGUGUGAAAUCCCCAGGCUUAACCUGGGAACUGCAUUCGAGACUGCAUUGCUAGAGUAUGGGAGAGGGAAGUGGAAUUUCCGGUGUAGCGGUGAAAUGCGUAGAUAUCGGAAGGAACACCGGUGGCGAAGGCGGCUUCCUGGACCGAUCACUGACGCUGAGGCGCGAAAGCUAGGGGAGCAAACGGG